AUGAGCCUGGAGAAACCCGCGCUAAGCUGGGACGCAGACCUCUACGGCGAGGGUGCUGGUGGACAGCUGCUGGGACCUCAGGAUCUCAGACAAGGGCUCACCAGACUGGGACCCACACAUCUGAGGAGUGGGAGGUGCCUGCCUGAAAGAUGUGAUGAAGUGGUUCUGGCAGUGAGGAGGAUGCCUGCAAAUAGAACCAGCUGUUCCUGGAACCCACAACCGCUGCCAAACGGAGGGACCAUUAUUGGUGGGAAACUGGCAGGACAAGCAGAACGAACCGAACUACCUCCUCCCGCCCUCCCUUCUCCCCGAGCAGCCCCUGCCAGCUGCGCGAGCUAAGAGAAGCCUAGCUGGCACCGAAGUGCGGUGCGCAGCUCCCUCCAGCAUCGGAGGGAGGUGGCGGAGGGAGGAGGAACAGCGCAGUCGCCAGCAUGAACCUCCGAACCUUCGAACCUUCGCGCUGGAUGCUCAGCGGCCAAGCGCAGCUGCCCCCACGCACAGGUGUAACCCCGCACGGCGGUGAUAACGGGACGCCAGUGUCCUUUAUACAGAUGAAGACUGCUUGUCCUGUCUCCAAAACAAGAGGGGAACAAAGAACAAAACAGAAUUUUAUGAAAUCUGUAUCCCUCAAACAGUCAUGUGAGAAGGACACACGACGUAUUGGUUGCUGCCGCACAGUGUGGGUCGGGGGGAGUCUGUCCAGGAUCCAGGAAUUUUCUGGGACAUCUCUCACCUGCUGAGAAGUCAGUACAUGACUGACAGUGAAUGCAAGACUACAGCAACCAAAGCAAACCAGGGCCCCAGAGUGCUUAGGAAAGGAUGAAGGAUGCAGUUUCAUUACUUAGACACCUGCUAGCUGAGAUUCCAGGAGUGGGCAAGGCCAGAUGGAACGGCUAAUGGAAGAGAGAAGCUGAAAGUAUCAGAGAAAGAGCAGCUGUGGCAGUUACGGACGUCAUUCCUCUCUAGUGUGUUUGAUGCACCCGUGUUUGUGGGUGGACCAUAUUCUUGCUUGAUAUCUCUUCCUCUGUGUGUGUGCAUGUGUAUGGGUGCCUGUCAUCUAUCUACCUAUCUACUAUCUAUCUAUCUAUCUAUCUAUCUAUCUAUCUAUCUAUCUAUCAUCUAUAUAUUAUCUAUUUAUCUAUAUCUAUCUUCUCUCUAUCAAUCUAUCAUCUACCUAUCAUUUAUCUAUAUAUCUAUCAAUCAUAUAUCAUUAUCAUCCUCACCAUCUAUCUACCCAACCGUCAUCUAUAUACUAAUAUUUUCCUGUUUUCUUUCCUUUAUUAACUUACAUAAGAGUUGCAGAUAAUAGGUAGCUACAAUUUAGCCUUUCAGUUAUAGA
Molecule: long non-coding RNA, 1339 nt
Filed under: Vulpes vulpes (red fox)
Lineage: Eukaryota; Metazoa; Chordata; Mammalia; Carnivora; Canidae
Description: lncRNA (ENSVVUG00000020826.1)
Source: RNAcentral